UCCACACCACUUACUGAAAAU
RNAcentral lists this non-coding RNA (21 nucleotides) under Caenorhabditis elegans. The record is from RNAcentral. Lineage: Eukaryota; Metazoa; Nematoda; Chromadorea; Rhabditida; Rhabditidae.